AGUGAACGCUGGCGGUAGGCCUAACACAUGCAAGUCGAACGGCAGCACAGUAAGAGCUUGCUCUUACGGGUGGCGAGUGGCGGACGGGUGAGGAAUACAUCGGAAUCUACUUUUUCGUGGGGGAUAACGUAGGGAAACUUACGCUAAUACCGCAUACGACCUACGGGUGAAAGCAGGGGAUCUUCGGACCUUGCGCGAUUGAAUGAGCCGAUGUCGGAUUAGCUAGUUGGCGGGGUAAAGGCCCACCAAGGCGACGAUCCGUAGCUGGUCUGAGAGGAUGAUCGGCCACACUGGAACUGAGACACGGUCCAGACUCCUACGGGAGGCAGCAGUGGGGAAUAUUGGGCAAAGGGCGCAAGCCUGAUCCAGCCAUACCGCGUGGGUGAAGAAGGCCUUCGGGUUGUAAAGCCCUUUUGUUGGGAAAGAAAAGCAGCAGGUUAAUACCCCGCUGUUCUGACGGUACCCAAAGAAUAAGCACCGGCUAACUUCGUG
This 492-nucleotide ribosomal RNA is filed under the name uncultured bacterium. RNAcentral describes it as "partial 16S ribosomal RNA". It matches the Rfam family "Bacterial small subunit ribosomal RNA", at positions 29 to 507 of the family's 1533-position model. The record is from RNAcentral.